UCACUGCUGACGAGUCCUAAACGGGACGAAACAGCUGUCCAGUGA
Non-coding RNA from Echinostoma caproni, 45 nucleotides. The record is from Rfam. Lineage: Eukaryota; Metazoa; Platyhelminthes; Trematoda; Plagiorchiida; Echinostomatidae.